Prunus mume (Japanese apricot) is the source of this 1805-nucleotide non-coding RNA. The record is from RefSeq and is a predicted model, not a curated record. Lineage: Eukaryota; Viridiplantae; Streptophyta; Magnoliopsida; Rosales; Rosaceae.
GGUUCAGUCGUGCAAUCCAAUGGUUCAAAACUUCGUCCAUGGGAUAUAUAAUUAUUAUUUCAUCAAUGCCAUAAAAAAUAGAUGAAUAUCUGUACCUCACGCUCGUGAGAUUUUAGUUCAAUGCAUCUGUCUCGUACACUGACAGACGGAGAUGGCAAUCGCAUGGGUUAAUUGAAUGGUAGUGGGUCGGGGAAGGUGAGCGGGAGUUGCACGGCCAUCGCAUGGCCAACUCAACUCAUCCUAUUUCUUUGUUUGUUUUUUCGAAUUGGAAAUGUGUGUUCGACCAAAAUAAAUAAUAAAUAAUAAAUAAACAAAUGGAAAUGCGUGGGAUAUUGUAAAUAAUAAUGAUCUCCUUCCUUUUUUGAAAUGGUGGGUAGGGUACGGUUUAGGGUUGGUUUGUAUAAUAGGAGGCGAGAGAGAGCAUGGCCCAACCCACCGACACUUAAUUUUUUGCCUCCAUUAUCUCCCAACCGUCUGUUCUCCCCUUCCUCUUCAUUAUCUUUCCUCAGCUGGAACCCUCACGAUCUCUCUCCCUCCUCUCCUCCCCUCCAUUGCCUCUCUUUUGCUCUCCCUGUACCUUCACGAAGCACCCACCCUUCACCAACCACCAGAACCCUCUCGAUUAUCUCCUCCCUUUGCUCUCCUUCGCUCUCCCAACCAAGCCUCGAUUAUAUCUCCCAACCGUCUGUUCUCCCCUACCUCUCCAUAUAUUUCCUCUGCCAGAACCCUCACGAUCUCUCUCCCUCCUCUCUUCUCCCUUUCCUUUCUUUUGAUCUCCCUUGUAUCUCCUUUGCUAUCCGUUGUCUCUUCACAAUCUGUCCAUAUCUUUGCUGUUUGCGCUCAUUAUCUCCCCAAAUGCUUCUGUUGAUUCUCCGGAGGAGGAGGAGGCCCAGAGCUUGGAUCUGACGAUUGCCCUCUUUUUCAGAGAGGUGGCGACGGUAAAUUUUUUUUGCCGAUUUUGUGGGAUGUGCUGGCCAGAUCUGGCCGCACGGAAUAAUCACGAAGUUGAACAUUUCAGCGAUAAGUUCGAUGUUUCUUGCUUCCUUAUUUCUGAUAAUUGCCUCAACCUGUCCCUCAAUGAUCGGAACAAUAUAUCAUGUAAGAAGGAUUUGCUUUCUUGGAUUGAAAGUGUCCCAGAUGGAUUUGUUCUAGCUGACUUGGCUGAUGUGAGUUGAUACAUUCGAAAGAAAUCGUUGUACUACAUUCUAAUGUAGUUGGGGGAAGUGGUCUACGCAAUCAAGCAGCUGGAGUUUGAUGAUGAGCUGAAGAGUCUAUUAAAGCAAUUUGAUGUGCGCAACAUAGAUGCUGUUAACAAAUGUCUAAGAAUGCACGGAAGCAAGAUAAGGACGGGUUCUUCAAAGAGGCCUGCUGACGCUCCUGAAUCCAGGAAGCUAAACAAGAGGUUGAAGGGGGUUAGGUUGUUUUCCUAGUUUCUCUCAUGAUUACUAUAUUUCAGUAAUUUCCUAAAUGUAGAAAAAUCAUCUUGCAUUUGUCAUCUCUUUCUGCUUGCAAGUCAUUGCAGAAAGCUGAGAGCGUGAAUAGAUGUACAUAGGAUGUUUUUUAAGUUUUCCUUAACUUAAUCGAAGAUUGUUGCAGCCUUGAAAGCUGAGAGCGUGAAUAGAUGUACAGAGGAUGUUUUUUAAGUUUUCUUUAACUUAAUCGAAGAUUGUUGCAGACUUGAAGGUCAUUGCAGAAUGCUGAGAGCGUGAAUGGAUGUACUGAUGCAUGUUUUUGAACUUGUGAACUUAUCUGUGAACUUUUGAACUUGAGGACCUAUUGGAUCUAGUUUUAGAGAGAUUAGAAUC